GCAAGUCGAACGAAGUAGCAAUACUUAGUGGCAGACGGGUGAGUAACAUGUAGGUAUCUGCCCUUUGGCCUGGAAUAACACGAGGAAACUUGUGCUAAUACCGGAUAAGUCUUUACGGAGAAAGCUUUAUGCACCAUUGGAUGAGCCUGCACUUGAUUAGUUUGUUGGUGGGGUAAUGGCCUACCAAGACUGUGAUCAAUAGCUGAUUUGAGAGGAUGAUCAGCCACAUUGGGACUGAGACACGGCCCAAACUCCUACGGGAGGCAGCAGUGGGGAAUCUUGCACAAUGGAGGAAACUCUGAUGCAGCGAUGCCGCGUGAGUGAAGAAGGCCCUUGGGUUGUAAAGCUCUUUCGUCGGGGAAGAAAAUGACUGUACCCGAAUAAGAAGGUCCGGCUAACUUCGUGCCAGCAGCCGCGGUAAUACGAAGGGACCUAGCGUAGUUCGGAAUUACUGGGCUUAAAGAGUUCGUAGGUGGUUGAAAAAGUUAGUGGUGAAAUCCCAGAGCUUAACUCUGGAACUGCCAUUAAAACUUUUCAGCUAGAGUAUGAUAGAGGAAAGCAGAAUUUCUAGUGUAGAGGUGAAAUUCGUAGAUAUUAGAAAGAAUACCAAUUGCGAAGGCAGCUUUCUGGAUCAUUACUGACACUGAGGAACGAAAGCAUGGGUAGCGAAGAGGAUUAGAUACCCUCGUAGUCCAUGCCGUAAACGAUGUGUGUUAGACGUUGGAAAUUUAUUUUCAGUGUCGCAGGGAAACCGAUAAACACACCGCCUGGGGAGUACGACCGCAAGGUUAAAACUCAAAUGAAUUGACGGGGACCCGC
Molecule: ribosomal RNA, 819 nt
Filed under: uncultured marine bacterium
Lineage: Bacteria
Description: bacterial SSU rRNA
Rfam family: Bacterial small subunit ribosomal RNA
Source: RNAcentral